CUGAGAGCACAUGGACCCAUAUUGUUUGCUCGCCCCCAGAGAUUCUAUAAUAGCCAACUGCAGGGGGGCCCUUCCUUGAGCUCGAGAGCUUUCGACGACCUACCGCAGCGCAUUUCUACAGCGAAGCAAAGAGCGUUGUGUGUCUUGAUUGAUGUCCCGUGUUUUUACAGUUUUGAAGGGCGUGUCUGUUUGUUUAUCCAUGUCCAUGUCAAAACACACGACGAUUAUUGUUCAGCAUGUCCAUGUCAAAACAUACAUCGAUCUUGA
RNAcentral lists this unclassified non-coding RNA (267 nucleotides) under Zea mays. Its description in RNAcentral is "misc RNA Zm00001eb166730". Lineage: Eukaryota; Viridiplantae; Streptophyta; Magnoliopsida; Poales; Poaceae. The record is from RNAcentral.